This 293-nucleotide small nuclear RNA is filed under the name Oryctolagus cuniculus (rabbit). RNAcentral's name for it is "7SK RNA". It matches the Rfam family "7SK RNA". From Rfam's summary of the family: 7SK was discovered as an abundant small nuclear RNA in the mid-70s but a possible function has only recently been suggested. The record is from Rfam by way of RNAcentral. Lineage: Eukaryota; Metazoa; Chordata; Mammalia; Lagomorpha; Leporidae.
GGAAGCCUGUGAAGGUAAUCUGGCUGUGACACCAACCCCACUGACGGCCAGGAUUGAUUAGAUUGAUCUGGCUGGCUAGACAGAUGUCCCCUUCCCUGCUCAAUGCUCCAUGUGCGUCACCCCAGAAGCUGCACGCUUGGUAGAAGAGGAUGCCCUUCCCCAUUAGAGGAGGAAGACCGGUAGCUGUACUCCCAUGCUAGAACCUCCAAACAAGCACUCAAGGAGGUCUGCAUCCUACUUAAAAAAACAAACAAACAAACAGCUGAAGGUUACUAAAACCUAUAACAAUAUGU